GAUGAAGAACGCAGCGAAAUGCGAUAAGCAGUGUGAAUUGCAGAAUUCAGUGAAUCAUCGAAUCUUUGAACGCACAUUGCGCCCCUUGGUAUUCCAUGGGGCAUGCCUGUUCGAGCGUCAUUUGUACCUUCAAGCUUUGCUUGGUGUUGGGUGUUUGUCCUGAGGGACUCGCCUUAAAGUAAUUGGCAGCCAGUGUUUGGUUUUGAAGCGCAGCACAAGUCGCGAUUCAAAGCUAUACGCCCGCUUCCACAAGCCUUUUUCACUUUUGACCUCGGAUCAGGUAGGGAUACCCGCUGAACUUAAGCAUAUCAAUAAGCGGAGGA
This 323-nucleotide unclassified non-coding RNA is filed under the name soil metagenome. RNAcentral describes it as "partial contains 5.8S ribosomal RNA, internal transcribed spacer 2, and large subunit ribosomal RNA". The stretch from base 1 to 120 matches the Rfam family "5.8S ribosomal RNA", at positions 35 to 154 of the family's 154-position model. The record is from RNAcentral.